This 347-nucleotide RNase P RNA is filed under the name Verrucomicrobiota bacterium. RNAcentral's name for it is "Verrucomicrobia bacterium (activated sludge metagenome) RNase P RNA component class A". It matches the Rfam family "Bacterial RNase P class A". Rfam says of the family: Ribonuclease P (RNase P) is a ubiquitous endoribonuclease, found in archaea, bacteria and eukarya as well as chloroplasts and mitochondria. Its best characterised activity is the generation of mature 5'-ends of tRNAs by cleaving the 5'-leader elements of precursor-tRNAs. Lineage: Bacteria; Pseudomonadati; Verrucomicrobiota. The record is from RNAcentral.
UCGGGAAAGCAAGCAAUCGCUGUCUUGUUUAACAAGGCAGAGGAAAGUCUGGACUUCACAGGAGAAGAUACCAGCGAAAGGCUGGGGGCCGCAAGGCUACGGAAAGUGUAACAGAAAACAUACCGCUGACUGACCUGCAAAGGUUGGAAAGACAGGCUGAAAAUGCGGGCUUUAGGAGUCCGCCGCACUUGUCGAGAGGCAAGGCGUUAUAAACCCUAUCUGAAGCAAGAGUGUCAAGUUUGUGCUCCGCAGUUGCUUGACGCAAGAUCGCUCGAGAGCUUUGGCGACAAGGCUCCUAGAGGAAUGAUUGCUCACGACAGAAUCCGGCUUACCGCUUUCCCGAAUUU